UGGCGGACGGGUGAGUAACGCGUAGGGAUCUAUCCUUGGGUGGGGGACAACGGCUGGAAACGGCUGCUAAUACCGCAUGAUAACUGAGGUUUAAAGGCGCAAGUCGCCUGGGGAGGAGCCUGCGUACGAUUAGCUAGUUGGUGGGGUAAAGGCCUACCAAGGCUGUGAUCGUUAGCUGGUCUGAGAGGAUGAUCAGCCACAUUGGGACUGAGACACGGCCCCG
This 223-nucleotide ribosomal RNA is filed under the name uncultured bacterium. RNAcentral describes it as "partial 16S ribosomal RNA". It matches the Rfam family "Bacterial small subunit ribosomal RNA", at positions 96 to 334 of the family's 1533-position model. The record is from RNAcentral.